AACGAACGCUGGCGGCAUGCCUAACACAUGCAAGUCGAACGAGACCUUCGGGUCUAGUGGCGCACGGGUGCGUAACGCGUGGGAACCUGCCCUUAGGUUCGGAAUAACUCCCCGAAAGGGGUGCUAAUACCGGAUAAUGUCUUCGGACCAAAGAUUUAUCGCCUUUGGAUGGGCCCGCGUUGGAUUAGCUAGUUGGUAGGGUAAUAGCCUACCAAGGCGACGAUCCAGAGCUGGUCUGAGAGGAUGAUCAGCCACACUGGGACUGAGACACGGCCCAGACUCCGACGGGAGGCAGCAGUGGGGAAUAUUGGACAAGGGGCGAAGGCGUGAUCCAGCAAUGCCGCGUGAGUGAUGAAGGCCUUAGGGUUGUAAAGCUCUUUUACCCGGGAUGAUAAUGACAGUACCGGGAGAAUAAGCUCCGGCUAACUCCGUG
This 433-nucleotide ribosomal RNA is filed under the name uncultured bacterium. RNAcentral's name for it is "partial 16S ribosomal RNA". It matches the Rfam family "Bacterial small subunit ribosomal RNA", at positions 29 to 507 of the family's 1533-position model. The record is from RNAcentral.